Molecule: non-coding RNA, 563 nt
Filed under: Pongo abelii (Sumatran orangutan)
Lineage: Eukaryota; Metazoa; Chordata; Mammalia; Primates; Hominidae
Source: RNAcentral
AACAAAAAAGCUAAGGAUAAGGAAGCGGGAUGUCCCUCCUCCAAGUCUUGCUGAGGCUGGAAUGCAGUGGUGUGAUAAUGGCUCACUACAGCCUCAACCUCCUGGGCUCAAGUGAUCCUCCCACCUCGGCCUCCUGUGCAGCUGGGACCACAGGCACGCACACCACCAUACCCAGCUAAUUUAGAGCCACUCUCCUGAUGCUCAUUAGCAAGCCAGCCUCUGGCCCCUCCUAGGGUUGGUGAUAUCACCCCUCACCUGUUGCAGCUCCUGCCUCUCUCUUCCCAAAAACCUCUGCAGCUUUCACUUCCCCAGCAUGAUCUUCUUAAUUAGUUUAGGCUUUCACAAAAGACUGGAAGAGCAGUGGCCUGAAAGCAACAUCUGAAAUAUCAACUUUUUUGUGACCAGAGACACCAAGAGGGAUUUGGCAAGAGGAAAAGAUGGAGUCGGAGGCUCCAGGCUCAGUCCUUGGAGCUCUUCUCUCUGUAUCCUCUUUCUAGGUGAAAUUCACCCAUAUGGUGAUGACAUUCAAAUUUACGUCUCCAACCUGGAUCUCUCUUUUAAAC